GAAAUAUGAAGAUCAAGAAGAAGCCGCUAACUUCUAACUUUAACGGUUUAAUUCCGUUUAUAUUUCU
This 67-nucleotide transfer RNA is filed under the name Soliperla sp. ZTC-2018. Its description in RNAcentral is "tRNA-Ser". Lineage: Eukaryota; Metazoa; Arthropoda; Insecta; Plecoptera; Peltoperlidae. The record is from RNAcentral.